Molecule: ribosomal RNA, 253 nt
Filed under: uncultured bacterium
Lineage: Bacteria
Description: partial 16S ribosomal RNA
Rfam family: Bacterial small subunit ribosomal RNA
Source: RNAcentral
UACAGAGGUCUCAAGCGUUGUUCGGAUUCAUUGGGCGUAAAGGGUGCGUAGGUGGCGGGGUAAGUCAGGUGCGAAAUCUCGGGGCUCAACCCCGAAACUGCACUUGAUACUGCCUUGCUCGAGUACUGGAGAGGAGAUUGGAAUUUACGGUGUAGCAGUGAAAUGCGUAGAUAUCGUAAGGAAGACCAGUGGCGAAGGCGAAUCUCUGGACAGUUACUGACACUGAGGCACGAAGGCCAGGGGAGCAAACGGG